AACGAACGCUGGCGGCAUGCCUAACACAUGCAAGUCGAACGAGACCUUCGGGUCUAGUGGCGCACGGGUGCGUAACGCGUGGGAACCUGCCCUUAGGUUCGGAAUAACUCCCCGAAAGGGGUGCUAAUACCGGAUAAUGUCUUCGGACCAAAGAUUUAUCGCCCUUGGAUGGGCCCGCGUUGGAUUAGCUAGUUGGUAGGGUAAAAGCCUACCAAGGCGACGAUCCAUAGCUGGUCUGAGAGGAUGAGCAGCCACACUGGGACUGAGACACGGGGCAGACGUGGACAGUAGUGAGCAAUGGGGGAAAGUGUAAUACAGGCGAAAGGCGUGACCAGUGAUGCCCUGUGAGUGGUGAAGGUCUUAGGGUUAUAAUGAAGCCGCAACAGUGGUUGUAGUGAGGGUAGCGGGAAAAGAAGCGCCGGCUAACUACGUG
Molecule: ribosomal RNA, 433 nt
Filed under: uncultured bacterium
Lineage: Bacteria
Description: partial 16S ribosomal RNA
Rfam family: Bacterial small subunit ribosomal RNA
Source: RNAcentral